Transfer RNA from Camelus ferus (Wild Bactrian camel), 74 nucleotides. It matches the Rfam family "tRNA". From Rfam's summary of the family: Transfer RNA (tRNA) molecules are approximately 80 nucleotides in length. Their secondary structure includes four short double-helical elements and three loops (D, anti-codon, and T loops). Further hydrogen bonds mediate the characteristic L-shaped molecular structure. tRNAs have two regions of fundamental functional importance: the anti-codon, which is responsible for specific mRNA codon recognition, and the 3' end, to which the tRNAs corresponding amino acid is attached (by aminoacyl-tRNA synthetases). tRNAs cope with the degeneracy of the genetic code in two manners: having more than one tRNA (with a specific anti-codon) for a particular amino acid; and 'wobble' base-pairing, i.e. permitting non-standard base-pairing at the 3rd anti-codon position. Lineage: Eukaryota; Metazoa; Chordata; Mammalia; Artiodactyla; Camelidae. The record is from Rfam.
GGUAAGGUACAGCUCAGUGGUAGAGCGCAUGCUUAGCAUGCACAAGAUCCUGGGUUUGAUCCCCAGUACCUCCA